RNAcentral lists this long non-coding RNA (661 nucleotides) under Mus musculus (house mouse). RNAcentral's name for it is "long non-coding RNA chr17:83579582-83580243". The record is from RNAcentral. Lineage: Eukaryota; Metazoa; Chordata; Mammalia; Rodentia; Muridae.
GGGCUGUACACAUGAGUGAAGGUGUCUGCAGAGACCAGAUGAGGGCAUCAGAUCCUCUGGAGAUGGAGUUAUAGGAGGCUGUAACUCUUCUGAUGUGGUUGCUGGGAGCCCAACUUGGGUCCUCUGCAAGAACUUAAGAACUGAGGCCAUCUCUCCAAGCCCUUUAGACUAAACCAGGAAGAGGGCCUUUCAAGGUGCUCAGCUUUCUUAGACCGUAUCUGCUAGUGUGAGGGUAGCUAAGAGUCAGUUUUGUGCACCCCCACAGACAUAACGGUGGCUACACUCUUCAUGGCUUGAGAUAAAGACUGUCAAUGUAGACCAGGCUGCUCUCAAAUUUGGAAUCCUCCUGUCUUAGUCUUUUGAGUAUUGGGAUUAUUGCAUAGAAUGGCUGCAUAUGGUAACAACACCCAUUAAGCAAAGGCCCCUACUGUGAACACACGACUAAAAGAAUUAAAGAAAAAAAAUUAGCCAGAUACCUGUGAACGCAUUUAGCUCAAUUUUCUUCUAAGGCAGGUUAACUAUUAAGUCUCAUUUUUGAGACACUUCCUUUAGAACUCAGCAACAUGUUUCCUAAGUAGAAAUCUAUUACGGAUAGAUACAGGCUUUAGUUCUACCAGGAAGCUCAAUGUUCAAGCUUUGCUAUGGUGGCAUCCCUAAAACA